GACGAACCGUGCGAACGUUGUUCGGAAUCACUGGGCUUAAAGGGCGCGUAGGCGGGCGACCAAGUCCGGGGUGAAAUCUUUCGGCUCAACCGGAAAAGUGCCUUGGAUACUGGUUGUCUUGAGGGAGGUAGGGGCAGGUGGAACUUCCGGUGGAGCGGUGAAAUGCGUUGAUAUCGGAAGGAACGCCGGUGGCGAAAGCGACCUGCUGGAUCUCUACUGACGCUGAUGCGCGAAAGCUAGGGGAGCAAACGGG
RNAcentral lists this ribosomal RNA (253 nucleotides) under uncultured bacterium. RNAcentral describes it as "partial 16S ribosomal RNA". It matches the Rfam family "Bacterial small subunit ribosomal RNA", at positions 524 to 776 of the family's 1533-position model. The record is from RNAcentral.